UGAAUCCAUAGGUUAAUGAGGCGAACCGGGGGAACUGAAACAUCUAAGUACCCCGAGGAAAAGAAAUCAACCGAGAUUCCCCCAGUAGCGGCGAGCGAACGGGGAGCAGCCCAGAGUCUGAAUCAGUGUGUGUGUUAGUGGAAGCGUCUGGAAAGGCGCGCGAUACAGGGUGACAGCCCCGUACACAAAAAUGCACAUGCUGUGAGCUCGAUGAGUAGGGCGGGACACGUGGUAUCCUGUCUGAAUAUGGGGGGACCAUCCUCCAAGGCUAAAUACUCCUGACUGACCGAUAGUGAACCAGUACCGUGAGGGAAAGGCGAAAAGAACCCCGGCGAGGGGAGUGAAAAAGAACCUGAAACCGUGUACGUACAAGCAGUGGGAGC
RNAcentral lists this ribosomal RNA (383 nucleotides) under Escherichia coli. RNAcentral describes it as "partial 23S ribosomal RNA". It matches the Rfam family "Bacterial large subunit ribosomal RNA", at positions 159 to 580 of the family's 2925-position model. Lineage: Bacteria; Pseudomonadati; Pseudomonadota; Gammaproteobacteria; Enterobacterales; Enterobacteriaceae. The record is from RNAcentral.